GACCCCUCCCCUCCCACGACCCCCCGAUGGUCGCGGUGCGUAAGUUAAUUAACGGGUGAGUGGGCCGUAAAAACGUGUUAUCCACCCGGGUCGGGCCAAGCACACAAUGAGAAUUAAGACUCGUGCCGGUAUCGGCCCUGCAACAGGUAACCGCCUGGUAAAAAUGGGCCCAUUCAACAAGAAGGGGCCAUGCCACGUCCAAAAAGAAUGGAAGAAAAGAGAUACGUGGUUCGUGCUCGGUGAAUGAGACGAGGACAGUCAGGACAGUGGCCAGUGGCAAAUCUAAUAAAGCAAGACAUCGCGUGGCCAAUCAGAUGUGGGCGCAUAACUCAAGGAUCACGCAAUUAUAAAGCUGUAAAGCAAUAACUUCACGCGGCUCCGCCCGCCCCCUCCCAGCCCCCCGUCACCCCUCCGCCCCGCUCUGCCCUGCCCGUCAAAGCUCCGGACUUUUGUUUCAUUUCCACAUCUGCGAAACCAGUUUCGUUUGACACGUUACGUUUGCUAAAUCAAACAUUCCUCCUCAGCUCUCAAUUCCUUCUCUUACUUAUUGAAAAAACGUCGUAUAUGAAUCUUCAGACGUUGCGAAAUGUAUAAGCCGAACCGAAGUGUAGUAAGAUUUAGGUUAAAUGAACCUAGCUGUAAAGACAAGUAGAAAACACGGCUGUCAGAACUGAAAGUAUGAACGUGUUGUUUGAAAGGAGAUGAAACUGAAUCUUCGAAAGUUAGGCUAUACCAAGAACAGGUAGUAUCAUCGAAAAGCAUUUAUUGCAUUUUACUUUUUCACGGUCUUGAAUAAUUUGGGAUGUUCAAAUAAUGAGGAACUUAACGUUGCAAACAUGAUAGUGCGAUUACUGCAGGAGGAUUCCCCAUUUCUUUUAUAUCUGUCGCAUUCGACGUCUGAACAAAUCAUGAAAAAUUAAUUAAUGAGCCCCGGCUGACGCGGCAAAUUAACCAUCACUGCUGUAAGCCCAUGUUGCGUCAUGGCUGAUUGAAGGGAGUUCAGAACCAUUGAACACAACCGAUUAAUCGUAUUACCAUCUUGUUUUUCUCUUAACGCCAUUGUAAAAAUAA
RNAcentral lists this long non-coding RNA (1071 nucleotides) under Bemisia tabaci. RNAcentral's name for it is "lncRNA ENSSSA3NGG004424". Lineage: Eukaryota; Metazoa; Arthropoda; Insecta; Hemiptera; Aleyrodidae. The record is from RNAcentral.